UGGGGAAUCUUCCGCAAUGGGCGAAAGCCUGACGGAGCAACGCCGCGUGAUCGAAUGAAGGCCUUCGGUUGUAAAGAUCUGUUGACAGGGACGAAUAAGCAAUGCGAAUAGUUUGUGUAUGACGGUACCUGUUUAGAAAGCUCCGGCUAACUACGUGCC
Molecule: ribosomal RNA, 159 nt
Filed under: uncultured bacterium
Lineage: Bacteria
Description: partial 16S ribosomal RNA
Rfam family: Bacterial small subunit ribosomal RNA
Source: RNAcentral